UCCAUGGUGGCUCAGACAGUAAAGCAUCUGUCUACAAUGCAGGAGACCCAGGUUCAAUCCCUGGGUUGGGAA
Molecule: transfer RNA, 72 nt
Filed under: Ovis aries (sheep)
Lineage: Eukaryota; Metazoa; Chordata; Mammalia; Artiodactyla; Bovidae
Rfam family: tRNA
About the family: Transfer RNA (tRNA) molecules are approximately 80 nucleotides in length.
Source: Rfam by way of RNAcentral